Long non-coding RNA from Mytilus californianus (California mussel), 329 nucleotides. RefSeq lists it as uncharacterized. The transcript has 3 exons. Lineage: Eukaryota; Metazoa; Mollusca; Bivalvia; Mytilida; Mytilidae. The record is from RefSeq and is a predicted model, not a curated record.
ACAGGUCCUUUGAAUACCAGGGCAAAUAAUUGUCAGGCAUAUGUGUCAUUCCAAUUUUUGACCCAUUUGAGUAAAAAAGCAGUAAUAAUUCGGCAACAACUAAAACACAAUGGACACAGUUUACAGAUAAAAGAGGAAAAACACCAAUCACGCCCAGAUCACAGCUUACUGCUUUAUAUAGAUGCUUUACUUGAUCAGGGGAAAAAACCCAUGGAAAUAUUGUGCAAAGCAUGGAAAUGGGCUCGAGAUCAAGGGCAUUUUGAUGUGCACGAUAGAAGAUACUAUCUGACACCAGUUGACAUUAAGAAUAUAUGUCAACGUUACAAAAU